AAAUUGAAGAGUUUGAUCAUGGCUCAGAUUGAACGCUGGCGGCAGGCCUAACACAUGCAAGUCGAACGGUAACAGGAAGAAGCUUGCUUCUUUGCUGACGAGUGGCGGACGGGUGAGUAAUGUCUGGGAAACUGCCUGAUGGAGGGGGAUAACUACUGGAAACGGUAGCUAAUACCGCAUAAUGUCGCAAGACCAAAGAGGGGGACCUUCGGGCCUCUUGCCAUCGGAUGUGCCUAGAUGGGAUUAGCUUGUUGGUGGGGUAACGGCUCACCAAGGCGACGAUCCCUAGCUGGUCUGAGAGGAUGACCAGCCACACUGGAACUGAGACACGGUCCAGACUCCUACGGGAGGCAGCAGUGGGGAAUAUUGCACAAUGGGCGCAAGCCUGAUGCAGCCAUGCCG
RNAcentral lists this ribosomal RNA (402 nucleotides) under Escherichia coli. Its description in RNAcentral is "bacterial SSU rRNA". It matches the Rfam family "Bacterial small subunit ribosomal RNA", at positions 1 to 399 of the family's 1533-position model. Lineage: Bacteria; Pseudomonadati; Pseudomonadota; Gammaproteobacteria; Enterobacterales; Enterobacteriaceae. The record is from RNAcentral.